RNAcentral lists this unclassified non-coding RNA (1817 nucleotides) under Melitaea cinxia (Glanville fritillary). Its description in RNAcentral is "misc RNA ENSMCXG00005011792.1". Lineage: Eukaryota; Metazoa; Arthropoda; Insecta; Lepidoptera; Nymphalidae. The record is from RNAcentral.
CAACGAGCUAUGGUAAUUGCUUACCGUUAAAUGAGCCCUAUGCUUGUUUGCCAACCUAGUUGUGUAAGAAAAAAAAACAUAAAUGGCAUAUUGGUGUUAGAUAAACAUAUAAAUACAUACAUACUUUUAGAGUUGGUUAUUUUUGUCCUUAUAAGUACAUAAUAUACAAGUGGUAGUGAAUUUCAAAGUGUGCUUGUAAUAAGCUAGCAGCUAGAAAAAUUAAAUUAAUAGUUUAAUGAAUUGUAUAAACGUAUAUUUUAGUUAUAAGACCAUAUCAUAGUUUAAAUUAAAUAUUUAUUCUCAAGACAAUGUUAAAACAUGUGUCUAUUUUCUAGACUUUUUGCGGUUUAGAUUAUGAGGUUGUAUGGCGUUUUUUAUGGUGUAUAGCGUUCUGUAAUGUUACAUAAGUGAUUUGUUACAAAAAGUUUUAACUCAGUCAAGAAUAACUAUUUUGUACAUGGCAACAUUUUUUUUUAACAAUUCCUUAAUUCAGGAGCUAAGUUUCAAAAAUGAUUUUCUCUGCAGUUAAUUUUUUGUUGACUAAGUAUUUCUGAUGUUUCUACUGAAGAUUGGAACCGGCUUAGUUACUUACUUUAAAAUGUAGUCAUAGGGGAAAUUGUAAAAAAGUUGACAUAACUAGUUUUGAAUAACCCCUCCCUUUGCAGUCGGGUAAAAAUGACUCCUGAAUUUGUCUACCAUGUUUUAUGUACGAUAAUUCGCAUUAAUUAAAAGUUCUAAUAAAGCCAAAAACAAGAAAAUUAUGUUAAUUAAGAUUUCACAAAUAAUAAAAUAAUAAUUUACUUAUGGAUUGAAAAGAAAUUUUAAAUGAUAAUAAUAAAUUGUAAGUUUUUCGAUGUUCGAUGUAUUCUUGGCUAAAUUGACCAAAGAUCGCUUCACAUUUAAGCUCAUUGUAACAUAUCCUAACAAAACGUAUAAUUAUUAAUGAUUACUGUGAAGCACAGUGGAGGUACUAUAUUUCAAAAUUAAAAAAAAACAACUUAAAUUUGAACAAUUCGUUCCGGAUUUUUUUCGGCAGUCUGAUUUUGACAUUUUAUUAAUUAUUUUCUUAAUUCACAUUCCGUAGAAUCAUUGGCAUAGAUAAUAAUAAACACUCUUUACUACUUUUUAUUUUUUUUAGUCUGAAAUUGUUAUAUCCACUAAUUUGAAUUAAAAAAAAUUAAUAAUACUCUGCUAUCCAAACUUAUUAAAAGAAAUUAUACCUGGAUAUUCGUAUACCUUAUACGAUUAAAAUUAAUACUAUAAGUAUUUAUUUUAAAGCGAAGUUAUCUCUCUUUAUUAUAUUACCAUUGCCCAUUUUCGCCAUUUGUUUAGUAAUUUGUCACCAGAAUCCUCCACCUGUGUCCUAGACUGAUAAAGUGUCAUGUUGCUCAAAACGCCUUUGUAAAACGCUUGUGCCUGCUUAAUAUAAGAGAAUAGGUAUCAAUUUAUCGUUGCUAGUUAAGGAAAAGGAAAUAAAAAAAAUGUGGAUUGAAGUGUCUAUGGCCAACGCCUUAUACGUUUGAAGCGUAGAAUAAAUCAAAUAAAAACUCAUUUCUAAAAAACUUUUUACGAUUUAACAAAAAAAAUAUUUUUUAUUAUGGUGUCCGACGAUGUUUAAGCGAUUUGAACGUAAAGUGAAUACGCACAAAUAUUGUUUGUUAGGAAGAUAAAAGCACAACUUUGAUAUGUAACACUUUUAACGUUUUAAACCAGUUUGUACACUUUUGUAUUUUACAAAUAUAUAAAUGAUUUUAUGAUAUGGAUUUUUAUUUUUGUAAAAUAAUUUUUCCCUUUUUGAAAUAUUGAUUAAUUUAACU